CGUCCAGCCCGCUCAGAAACUUAAAGGAAUUGACGGGGCCCGCACAAGCGGUGGAGCAUGUGGUUUAAUUCGAUGAUACGCGAGGAACCUUACCUGGGCUCAAAUGUAUGUUGACGUAUUCUGAAAGGGAUACUUCUUCGGACAAUAUACAAGGUGCUGCAUGGUUGUCGUCAGCUCGUGCCGUGAGGUGUCGGGUUAAGUCCCGCAACGAGCGCAACCCUUGUCUUAUGCUGCCAGCACGUGAUGGUGGGGACUCGUAAGAGACUGCCGGGGUCAACUCGGAGGAAGGUGGGGACGACGUCAAGUCAUCAUGCCCCUUAUGUCCAGGGCUUCACACAUGCUACAAUGGCCAGUACAGAGGGCUGCGAGACCGUGAGGUGGAGCGAAUCCCUUAAAGCUGGUCUCAGUUCGGAUCGGGGUCUGCAACUCGACCCCGUGAAGUCGGAGUCGCUAGUAAUCGCAGAUCAGCAACGCUGCGGUGAAUACGUUCCCGGGCCUU
Molecule: ribosomal RNA, 499 nt
Filed under: uncultured Rhodococcus sp.
Lineage: Bacteria; Bacillati; Actinomycetota; Actinomycetes; Mycobacteriales; Nocardiaceae
Description: bacterial SSU rRNA
Rfam family: Bacterial small subunit ribosomal RNA
Source: RNAcentral